This 365-nucleotide ribosomal RNA is filed under the name Escherichia coli. Its description in RNAcentral is "partial 23S ribosomal RNA". It matches the Rfam family "Bacterial large subunit ribosomal RNA", at positions 1 to 393 of the family's 2925-position model. The record is from RNAcentral. Lineage: Bacteria; Pseudomonadati; Pseudomonadota; Gammaproteobacteria; Enterobacterales; Enterobacteriaceae.
GGGUUGUGAGGUUAAGCGAAUAAGCGUACACGGUGGAUGCCCUGGCAGUCAGAGGCGAUGAAGGACGUGCUAAUCUGCGAUAAGCGUCGGUAAGGUGAUAUGAACCGUUAUAACCGGCGAUUUCCGAAUGGGGAAACCCAGUGUGUUUCGACACACUAUCAUUAACUGAAUCCAUAGGUUAAUGAGGCGAACCGGGGGAACUGAAACAUCUAAGUACCCCGAGGAAAAGAAAUCAACCGAGAUUCCCCCAGUAGCGGCGAGCGAACGGGGAGCAGCCCAGAGCCUGAAUCAGUGUGUGUGUUAGUGGAAGCGUCUGGAAAGGCGCGCGAUACAGGGUGACAGCCCCGUACACAAAAAUGCACAUG